Molecule: ribosomal RNA, 394 nt
Filed under: uncultured bacterium
Lineage: Bacteria
Description: partial 16S ribosomal RNA
Rfam family: Bacterial small subunit ribosomal RNA
Source: RNAcentral
ACACGUAGGGGGCGAGCGUUAUCCGGAAUUACUGGGCGUAAAGAGUGCGUAGGUGGCUUUGCAAGCGUAGGGUAUAAGGCGACAGCCCAACUGUCGUUGGCCCCGCGAACUGUAAGGCUUGAGUACAGGAGGGGAAGGCGGAAUUCCUAGUGUAGCGGUGAAAUGCGUAGAUAUUAGGAGGAACACCAGUGGCGAAGGCGGCCUUCUGGACUGUAACUGACACUGAGGCACGAAAGCGUGGGUAGCAAACAGGAUUAGAUACCCUGGUAGUCCACGCCGUAAACGAUGAGCACUAGGUGUCGGGCUCGCAAGAGUUCGGUGCCGGAGCAAACGCAUUAAGUGCUCCGCCUGGGAAGUACGCUCGCAAGAGUGAAACUCAAAGGAAUUGACGGGG